UUGGUAGAGGAGCAUUGUUAGCGGAACGAAGCCAUACCGGAAGGAGUGGUGGACUGCUAAGAAGAGAGAAUGCCGGAAUGAGUAGCGAGAUUGAAGUGAGAAUCUUCAAGGCCGAAUAUCUAAGGUUUCCAGGGUAAAGCUGAUCUGCCCUGGGUAAGUCGGGGCCUAAGGCGAGGUCGAAAGACGUAGCCGAUGGACAACAGGUUGAAAUUCCUGUACUGCGAUAUAUCAGAAAUGUGGGGACACAGAAGGAAAGUGUGAGCCGGGAAAGGAAAGACCGGUGCAAGCACAGGAGGAGAGAUACAGGCAAAUCCGUAUUUCAAUCCAAUGGUGUUACGCGGAGCGAACAAAAGUAGCGAAGCACACAGACCAUCUGUCGAGAAAAGCCGCUAUUGUGUAUACCGUACCCGUACCGUAAAUCGACACAGGUGGAUGAGGAGAGAAUCCUAAGGCCGGCGGGAGAAGCAUUGUUAAGGAACUCGGCAAAAUGACCCCGUAACUUCGGGAGAAGGGGUGCUCACGCGAGUGAGCCGCAGAGAACUGGCCCAAGCAACUGUUUAGCAAAAACACAGGUCUAUGCGAAACCGAAAGGUGAGGUAUAUGGGCUGACGCCUGCCCGGUGCUGGAAGGUUAAGGGGAGAGGUUAGCGCAAGCGAAGCUUUGAACUUAAGCCCCAGUAAACGGCGGCCGUAACUAUAACGGUCCUAAGGUAGCGAAAUUCCUUGUCGGGUAAGUUCCGACCCGCACGAAAGGCGUAAUGAUUUGGGCACUGUCUCAACAAUGCACCCGGUGAAAUUGAAAUACCAGUGAAGAUGCUGGUUACCUGCGCCAGGACGGAAAGACCCCAUGGAGCUUUACUCUAGCUUGAUACUGGGAUUCGAUAUUGCAUGUACAGGAUAGGUGGGAGACUAGGAGGUGGUGACGCCAGUUGCCAUGGAGUCGAUGUUGGGAUACCACCCUUGCAGUACUGGGUUUCUAACCUGCGGCCGUGACCCGGCCGGGGGACAAUGUCUGGUGGGGAGGUUGACUGGGGCGGUCGCCUCCGAAAGGGUAUCGGAGGCGCUCAAAGGUUCCCUCAGAAUGGUUGGAAACCAUUCGAAGAGUGCAAAGGCAGAAGGGAGCUUGACUGCGACACCGACGGGUGGAGCAGGUACGAAAGUAGGACUUAGUGAUCCGGUGGUAUGAAAGUGGGAUUGCCAUCGCUCAACGGAUAAAAGCUACCCUGGGGAUAACAGGCUUAUCACUCCCAAGAGUUCACAUCGACGGAGUGGUUUGGCACCUCGAUGUCGGCUCAUCGCAUCCUGGGGCUGUAGUAGGUCCCAAGGGUUGGGCUGUUCGCCCAUUAAAGCGGUACGCGAGCUGGGUUCAGAACGUCGUGAGACAGUUCGGUCCCUAUCCGGCGUGGGCGUAGGAUAUCUGAGAGGAGCUGUCCUUAGUACGAGAGGACCGGGAUGGACUGACCUCUGGUGCAUCGGUUGAGCCACCAGGCUCAUGGCCGAGUAGCCAAGUCGGGACGGGAUAAACGCUGAAGGCAUCUAAGCGUGAAGCCCCCCUCAAGAUGAGAUAUCCCAUAGAGUUAAUCUAGUAAGACCCCUUGAAGACGACGAGGUAGAUAGGCAGAAGGUGGAAGUGUGGUGACAUAUGGAGCUGAUCUGUACUAAUAGGUCGAGGGCUUAACC
This 1679-nucleotide ribosomal RNA is filed under the name human gut metagenome. RNAcentral describes it as "bacterial LSU rRNA". It matches the Rfam family "Bacterial large subunit ribosomal RNA", at positions 1225 to 2925 of the family's 2925-position model. The record is from RNAcentral.